RNAcentral lists this ribosomal RNA (482 nucleotides) under Haloarcula sp. 1CSR25-25. Its description in RNAcentral is "partial 23S ribosomal RNA". It matches the Rfam family "Archaeal large subunit ribosomal RNA", at positions 1 to 504 of the family's 2987-position model. The record is from RNAcentral. Lineage: Archaea; Methanobacteriati; Methanobacteriota; Halobacteria; Halobacteriales; Haloarculaceae.
CGACGUUGGCUACUAUGCCAGCUGGUGGAUUGCUCGGCUCAGGCGCUGAUGAAGGACGUGCCAAGCUGCGAUAAGCUGUGGGGAGCCGCACGGAGGCGAAGAACCACAGAUUUCCGAAUGAGAAUCUCUCUAACAAUUGCUUCGCGCAAUGAGGAACCCCGAGAACUGAAACAUCUUAGUAUCGGGAGGAACAGAAAACGCAACGUGAUGUCGUCAGUAACCGCGAGUGAACGCGAUACAGCCCAAACCGAAGCCCUCACGGGCAAUGUGGUGUCAGGGCUACCUCUCAUCAGCCGACCGUCUCGACGAAGUCUCUUGGAACAGAGCGUGAUACAGGGUGACAACCCCGUACUCGAGACCAGUACGCUGUGCGGUAGUGCCAGAGUAGCGGGGGUUGGAUAUCCCUCGCGAAUAACGCAGGCAUCGACUGCGAAGGCUAAACACAACCUGAGACCGAUAGUGAACAAGUAGUGUGAACGAAC